RNAcentral lists this ribosomal RNA (420 nucleotides) under Lyctocoridae sp. SJ-2010. Its description in RNAcentral is "partial 16S ribosomal RNA". The stretch from base 293 to 420 matches the Rfam family "Bacterial large subunit ribosomal RNA", at positions 2473 to 2600 of the family's 2925-position model. Lineage: Eukaryota; Metazoa; Arthropoda; Insecta; Hemiptera; Lyctocoridae. The record is from RNAcentral.
GCUAUUUAAUUGAUAGCUUGUAUGAAUGGUUUGAUGAAAAAUAUUCUUUCUUUAUUUUAUAUAUUUGAAUUUAAUUUUUUAGUUAAAAAGCUAAAAUUGAAUUAUUAGACGAUAAGACCCUAUAGAACUUUAUUAUUUAUAAAUUAAAUUAAUUUGGAGUUAUUAUUUUAUUUGAUUUAAAAUAUAAUUUGGUUGGGGUGACUAUUAGAUUAAAUUAACUCUAAUGUUUAUAUUCAUAAAUUAAUGUUUUUUUGAUCCUAUUUUUUAGAUUACUAGAUUAAGUUACCUUAGGGAUAACAGCGUAAUUUUAUUGGAGAGUUCAUAUCAAUAAUAAAGUUUGCGACCUCGAUGUUGGAUUAAAAUUAGUUUUAAGUGCAGAAGCUUAAAUAUCUGGGUCUGUUCGACCUUUAAUUUUUUACA